UAAUAUCCUUGUCAUCAAAUGGGUUAAGUCACAUAAGGUCCAAUCAAAGGCUUGCUAAGGAGUGAGCACUAAGGUGAGUGUAAGUUGAGGGAGGUGGAAGAGCACUAAGGUGAGUGUAAGUGGAGGGAGGUGGAAGAGCACUAAGGUGAGUGUAAGAUGAGGGAGGUGGAAGAGCACUAAGGUGAGUGUAAGUGGAGGGAGGUGGAAGAGCACUAAGGUGAGUGUAAGAUGAUGGAGGUGGAAGAGCACUAAGGUGAGUGUAAGUGGAGGGAGGUGGAAGAGCACUAAGGUGAGUGUAAGUGGAGGGAGGUGGAAGAGCACUAAGGUGAGUGUAAGUGGAGGGAGGUCGAAGAGCACUAAGGUGAGUGUAAGUGAAGGGAGGUGGAAGAGCACUAAGGUGAGUGUAAGUUGAUGGAGGUGGAAGAGCACUAAGGUGAGUGUAAGUUGAGGGAGGUGGAAGAGCACUAAGGUGAGUGUAAGACGAUGGAGGUGGAAGAGCACUAAGGUGAGUGUAAGUGGAGGGAGGUGGAAGAGCACUAAGGUGAGUGUAAGUGGAGGGAGGUGGAAGAGCACUAAGGUGAGUGUAAGUGGAGGGAGGUGGAAGAGCACUAAGGUGAGUGUAAGAUGAGGGAGGUGGAAGAGCACUAAGGUGAGUGUAAGACGAUGGAGGUGGAAGAGCACUAAGGUGAGUGUAAGUUGAGGGAGGUGGAAGAGCACUAAGGUGAGUGUAAGUGGAGGGAGGUGGAAGAGCACUAAGGUGAGUGUAAGACGAUGGAGGUGGAAGAGCACUAAGGUGAGUGUAAGUGGAGGGAGGUGGAAGAGCACUAAGGUGAGUGUAAGUUGAGGGAGGUGGAAGAGCACUAAGGUGAGUGUAAGUUGAUGGAGGUGGAAGAGCACUAAGGUGAGUGUAAGUGGAGGGAGGUGGAAGAGCACUAAGGUGAGUGUAAGUGGAGGGAGGUGGAAGAGCACUAAGGUGAGUGUAAGUUGAUGGAGGUGGAAGAGCACUAAGGUGAGUGUAAGUGGAGGGAGGUGGAAGAGCACUAAGGUGAGUGUAAGUGGAGGGAGGUGGAAGAGCACUAAGGUGAGUGUAAGUUGAUGGAGGUGGAAGAGCACUAAGGUGAGUGUAAGUGGAGGGAGGUGGAAGAGCACUAAGGUGAGUGUAAGUGGAGGGAGGUGGAAGAGCACUAAGGUGAGUGUAAGUGGAGGGAGGUGGAAGAGCACUAAGGUGAGUGUAAGUGGAGGGAGGUGGAAGAGCACUAAGGUGAGUGUAAGUGGAGGGAGGUGGAAGAGCACUAAGGUGAGUGUAAGUGGAGGGAGGUCGAAGAGCACUAAGGUGAGUGUAAGUGAAGGGAGGUGGAAGAGCACUAAGGUGAGUGUAAGUUGAUGGAGGUGGAAGAGCACUAAGGUGAGUGUAAGUUGAGGGAGGUGGAAGAGCACUAAGGUGAGUGUAAGACGAUGGAGGUGGAAGAGCACUAAGGUGAGUGUAAGUGGAGGGAGGUGGAAGAGCACUAAGGUGAGUGUAAGUGGAGGGAGGUGGAAGAGCACUAAGGUGAGUGUAAGUGGAGGGAGGUGGAAGAGCACUAAGGUGAGUGUAAGAUGAGGGAGGUGGAAGAGCACUAAGGUGAGUGUAAGACGAUGGAGGUGGAAGAGCACUAAGGUGAGUGUAAGUGGAGGGAGGUGGAAGAGCACUAAGGUGAGUGUAAGUUGAGGGAGGUGGAAGAGCACUAAGGUGAGUGUAAGUUGAUGGAGGUGGAAGAGCACUAAGGUGAGUGUAAGUUGAGGGAGGUGGAAGAGCACUAAGGUGAGUGUAAGUGGAGGGAGGUGGAAGAGCACUAAGGUGAGUGUAAGAUGAGGGAGGUGGAAGAGCACUAAGGUGAGUGUAAGUUGAUGGAGGUGGAAGAGCACUAAGGUGAGUGUAAGUGGAGGGAGGUGGAAGAGCACUAAGGUGAGUGUAAGUGGAGGGAGGUGGAAGAGCACUAAGGUGAGUGUAAGUUGAUGGAGGUGGAAGAGCACUAAGGUGAGUGUAAGUGGAGGGAGGUGGAAGAGCACUAAGGUGAGUGUAAGUGGAGGGAGGUGGAAGAGCACUAAGGUGAGUGUAAGUGGAGGGAGGUGGAAGAGCACUAAGGUGAGUGUAAGUGGAGGGAGGUGGAAGAGCACUAAGGUGAGUGUAAGUGGAGGGAGGUGGAAGAGCACUAAGGUGAGUGUAAGAUGAUGGAGGUGGAAGAGCACUAAGGUGAGUGUAAGUGGAGGGAGGUGGAAGAGCACUAAGGUGAGUGUAAGUUGAUGGAGGUGGAAGAGCACUAAGGUGAGUGUAAGUGGAGGGAGGUGGAAGAGCACUAAGGUGAGUGUAAGUGGAGGGAGGUGGAAGAGCACUAAGGUGAGUGUAAGUGGA
Molecule: long non-coding RNA, 2392 nt
Organism: Apodemus sylvaticus (European woodmouse)
Lineage: Eukaryota; Metazoa; Chordata; Mammalia; Rodentia; Muridae
Exons: 3
Source: RefSeq, a predicted model, not a curated record